Bicyclus anynana (squinting bush brown) is the source of this 11030-nucleotide RNA transcript. RefSeq lists it as uncharacterized. The transcript is spliced from 10 exons. NCBI's taxonomy places the organism in Eukaryota, Metazoa, Arthropoda, Insecta, Lepidoptera, Nymphalidae. The record is from RefSeq and is a predicted model, not a curated record.
UUUGUUGUCUGUGAUAUUGUAAACAUUAAACAAUUUUUCGAUUGUUUGAAUACAUGUGCACCUCGUGCAAUUAGAAGAUUUAAUUUUAAUAUCUAUCAGCUAUUUAAAAAUGAAUUAGUUCAAUUAAGCUGAAAAAAAUGUCAGGUUACUUAGAAGUUAAGUAUCCUUUCAAAUCGAACAUCGGAUUGAAUCCUUUCAAGUCGUGGAAGAGGCAAUGGUGUAUUCUGCGGCCGGGGCCGAGCGCGGGCAGCGGCUCGUUGGCUGUAUAUUGCAGCGAGGCAGGCGCUACGGCAGGCACGGUGGAACUUCGAUCGGGUAGUGUUGUGAAACGUGCAAAAUCGCGUACUAGACCUCACGCUUUCGCUGUGUUUUCCGUGGAUGAACCGUGUAAACCCCGAAUCCUGCUCGCGGCGCAUUCUCUCCAGGAAGCACAGCAGUGGAUGGAGAAAAUUCGAGAAUUGCUUAGUGGGCAGAAGCUUUUGGGCACCGAAACAUUGCUUAAAGAUUCCUAUUCGGUGACAAUCAUACCCACCGAGCUGUCAGAGAAAUGUGACGUGACCGGUGACAGCCGCCUCACCCUCUCGUCCACCGGGCUGGCGGUGUCGCGCCCCUCCGGAGACUUGCUCAUCCGAUGGCAAGACAUCACCGAUGUCCUGCAGGAGAGAGAGAACGGGGACAGAAAUAAAACAUGUAGACUCAGUGUUGAUAGCGGCUUCCACGGCGGCGGCGAGAUGAAGCUGUGCACGGCGCUCAACAGCGAUCUCACAAGCGCCAUCAAGCUCGCGCUCAAGGAGAACAUGCGGGGCGCGCGCCGCAGUCGCAGCCAGCCCGACCUCAACACCAGCUGCGACCUUACCGGUGAACUCCGCCGCAGCAGUUGGUACAGCGGACCCUCGGAGGUGUCGUUAGAUGACACCGACCUCAUCAUGUCCAAAGGCGUGCCGAGCGGACAGCUGUCUCGCUGUAGCGGCCGCCUGCUGCGAGCUUCGCUGACGUCACUGGAUGACAGUAUGUGCGACCGUCGCUCGCUGGUGUCGGUGUCGUCGGGCGUGUACGAGGAGAUCUCGGAGGAGCCGCGGCCGCGCGCGCGCGAGGAGCCCACGUACGAGUCGGUGGCGGACUGCAUCUACGCCACCAUGCGCCGCACGGGCAAGCGCCACCCCCCGCCGCCGCUGCCGCCCCGCCAGCCCUACCAGUGAGUGACCCCCUGCAGCCUUGAUGUGCGCCAGGAGCCCACGUACGAGUCGGUGGCGGACUGCAUCUACGCCACCAUGCGCCGCACGGGCAAGCGCCACCCCCCGCCGCCGCUGCCGCCCCGCCAGCCCUACCAUACAAUGAAGUUGGGCUCGUCGUGGAGCUGUCCGCUGGGCGGCGACGGCGUGACGCGCCACUCGUCGCUCGGCUCGCUGCACCACAAGCCGGCGCGCCCCGCCAAGCCCUUCAGCGUGUUCAGGAAAAGACUGAAGAGCGACUCGCGCAUCGCAUCUCCCAACAGCAACAAAGGCAAAGACGUGGAGACGAAGAAGAAGAAGUUCGACUUCACGCCCACACGCGACAUGUUCAAAAGCUUCAAGGUCAGCAGGAAGAUGAAGAACCUGAAGAUCAACUCGGGGCUGUCCAAGGGGGAGACGAAGAGCUGCGAGUUCCUGGACGAGACCCAGCACGUGACCAGCAACCGGUGCUCCAAGUCUGUGGAGUGCUUGGAGGGGAAUGGGUACGACGAGUUCGACGGCAACAUAUCCCUGGAAGUGUCCGAGGCGCGCGGCGAGUUUGCUCCCCAGGAGCUGUUCCAGCUCAUCCUGUGCCCCGACCUGCGGCUCAAGGACGCGCAGGGCCACCAGUGCGAGAACGACUACCUGCCCAUGUCGCCCAUCGUGCCGCCGCCCACGGAGCACCAUUACAUGGUCAUGUCUCCGAGGACUCAUUUGGCUUGAAUUUCUAGUCUUGACGGUUUGUGGGCGUUUUCUUGUAUUUCUCGCUUCAUAUUGGUAUACUGGUCACCAUACUUUUAUUUUAAGUGGAAACCUUUUUAGGCAUUUUUGGACUGGGAUAUAAGGUAAGCUAAAGUGAAGCUGUACUAUGUUUUUUUUAGAUAAAAUGCCCAAGUCUUCUAUUAGCACACGAAACUACCAAUGAAGAAAUGUUUAUAUGCAAGUUUUGAGUAGUUGGAGGAAAAUUACCGUUUUUUUUAAACUCUCCUCCUCCUCAAAACAAACAAACAAGUUAGCCCGCUUCCAUCUUAGAUUGCAUCAUCACUUACCAUCAGGUGAGAUUGUAGUCAAGGGCUAACUUGUAAGGAAUUAAAAAAAAAUAAAAACGAUUACAAACAAAAACAGCUAAAGCGUGUGAUACAUUCUGAUUUUCAAGACAAGCAAUUUAACGAGAACGGCAAAUAAUAUGUUCGAUUUUUGCAUUACUAUAAAAACUUUUGAAAAAUUAAAAAUGUGACUGUGAGACAUUUUUGAAAACGCUUUAUAAUAAAAUUGCGUUUGUAUGUGUAGUGAGACAUGAUAAUGUUAAUCGAUAUAUAUGCUUAUACUCUCUCUACUCACUCCAUCUUUCAUAAAAAUGAAUAAAAAAAUGAAAAGUGUUUAUUUCUUAACUAAAGUAUUACACACAAGUUGCAAGGGCCCCUGUACAAGGUGGAAACCUGUAAUGGGUGCCCCAAAAGUUUGAAUGUCCCAAAACAGGGUGUCCCAAAUCAGGGUGCCCCAAAACUUUGGAUGUCUCAAGACGGUGCCCCAAAAUAGGGUCCCAAAACAGGGUGUCUCAAAAUACCUGUGCGAGGGAGAAGGUCGUGUACUCUGCUCUCACGUACCAUAGACAUUUAUAUACCAUUUUUUUUUUAAUUUUCAAAUAUGGUGUACGAGUAUACUGUUAUGGUGAGAAAAACCGUCCACACUGUAAGGUAUGUGAUAUUUGAUGGUUAGCUUAGAAUGUAGUCGAGUAUCGCUAGUUGAAUUUGACUUGAAUGUCGUCAGAAAGACGGUCUCUUUAAAUGUUUCUUUGCCAUAAGGCAUUGGUACUGAGUUAAUACAAUUGUACUAAUCACAAAAGAAAUCUAACUUAACUUAAUUUGCUGGUGGCUUCGGCCGUGGCUAGUUACCCUGCCGGCAAAGACGUAUCGUAGACGUAUCCGAUACGAUGUCGUGUAGAAACCGAAAAGGGUGUGGAUUCUCAUCCUGCUCCUAACAAGUUAGCCCGCUUUCCAAGAUUGCAUCAUCACAAGCGCUCGUAGUAGUUUAGGCGCUACGUUGGAACAUAUAUACAUAGACUGCCAACAUCAUUACCCUUCCUUUUGACUUUGCCGUAUUCGGGUAAAAGAGUCCAGUCAAGAUGAAUUUUAAAGAUGUUUGUAAAUUUCAAAUACAUCUUGACUGGGCUUUGUUAAGCCAUAUUUAUCUUCUUUUAUUUUGUUUUUUUUUUCCGACUAAUUGGAGGGUUAAUGGGAAUAUUUGUCAUAAUUAAAAAGAUAUGGCAAAUAUUCUUUAAAAAAAAAUUAUCUUGAAUACAAAUAGACAAACUUCAACCAAUUGCAGUGCAACCGGAAAUACCGCUAUCUCUUUCAAAUGCAUUAGGGCGAAAGAGAUGGACAACUCCGCCGCUAUUAGACGAUAUUUUGUCCAUUUCUCUUCACUUGGUCGCAUUGGCAAGCGUGUGGAUGGCGAUGUUAAAGUCCCAAAAUCGAGUCAAAUGUUUGCGACAAAUACCAACCAUGUGGUACCUCCAUUAGUACAAUUGUAUUACUAUACUCAGAGGUACAAUUAUCCGCCCACUUAAAUAUGACGCGAGUAUAUUAAAGUAGGUGGAUAAUUGUGCCUCUGAGUGUAUAUUGUGUUAAAGGUGGUUUCGAAACAACCAAAGUUUUAGGGAAAUUUUAGGAUAGUUAGUGCGAUGGAAAACCGGAUCAUGUGUUGGUCGUCGUAAAGACUGAUGGUUGAAGACUUGACAAUUGUAGACUUUUACAAGUUAUUUGUCUGUGAAUCGGUGUACAGUGGCGUGCACAAAUUUGCGAUUAGAGUAGGCAUUAAGAAAGUAAAUGAUAUGAAUUACUUAUGGUCACUUAAUGUCAUGUUUGACUAUUUAUUGAAACUAUCUACAAUUUGGAAGGCAGUUGGAAGUCGGUAAAAAAAGGGCAAGCAGUAUAGAUAUGAAGUGCACGUCAUAGGCGUGCUAGGCGUGGUCAGCUCUGACCAAUGACUGACAAAAGCUGACCAAAUCAGCUGAUCAAAGUUAAAACUGACCAAUAUGCUAUAAGGAGUUUUAGCGUAACGUAAUGUAUCGCAGUGUAGAGUUCAACAUUACAUCACAAAUUAUGAUCUCAAGUAGCUUGAAUCUAAAGUUCACAAUGAGGAACUUACUAUUAAUAAGGGCAUAACAAACGAUACUUUAUACUAUUAGAUAUGUUAUGUGCCUUUAAAAUCAUCGCAAAAAGUGUUCUAAACUCAGCUAAUCCACUGAGCGCACACAUACACAGUUUUGUGUUAACUUGCACUAUAUAUUUAUGUAUAUGUAGUUUUUACACUUCCUGAACACGUAACUGGACAUUGUAGACAAUAUUUAGGUAUUAUUGUGUUUAAAUAACUUUCGUUGUUUAAAAAGUCACAAAAACAAGCCUUUGUUCGAUUGUGACGUGACGGGUAGCAGCGAUAUUGAUUGUACCAUUAUUUUGUGGCAGAGGAAACACCUUGAGCAGGUCCCAGGACUUGUGACCUUGGGGUAGCUUUAAGGGAUCCCUUUAGAAUACAUAAACACUCACCUUCCCUGCCCGACAUGAUCUCCAUGCCCACACUAAACAAUUUAUGAUAAACAAUAAUUACAACACAACGUUAUUGCACAAAAUCACUAACACGACUGGCAGCGUGACGGUGUACACGCUGCCUCACAAACAACUGAGAUCAAGUCAUCAAAUACCCUCUUCUUUAUACCAACAUUGAUAUUAAUACCACCUGUAAUCGAGAAACAUGUUACAGACGCUCUAGUGCCAUAUCUAACAGUAUAAAAUAUGGUUGUGGCUAAGUGUACACUGUACCGUGUAUAGCAAUAGCAAUCACUUGGGACACUUGGGAGUGCCUUUUUUCAUUACGCUUCCUAAUUACGAUUUUCAGCUAAUUUAGGAUUUAAUCUUUUCUAAAUUUACUCUUAACUAGUUUGUUGUUAUGCGUCGAUCGUGCCUAGUUAGUAGUUACCCUAUCCAAUGGCGUUCGGCCAAGCGAUUUAGUCUUUUGACAUAGUUGAGAACACUUUAGCUCGCUCAAAUCAGUGUAUCACAUCGUUACAUAAGGUCAGUGACCUGAACAAGGCUUUUAAAGGGCAGGCACUAUAUGUAAAAAUUGUAAUAAAAUGUAAAAUACCUUCUUCAACACAAGUUCUGGCUAGAAAGUGUAUUCUCACAUUACUGGGUGAGAUUAUAGUCACGUCAUGGUGUAUCGAUGAGUGAAAUAAACUAUCAUAUCAACUAUCUUGAUGCAUAAUUGUGGCAGUAUUAUUUAUAAUAUUGUGUAAUUUAAUAUAAUUAUGUUAAUUAUUUAAUUAAAUUAUUUUAACUUGGCACGUCAAGACAUUCACACGUUAUGCUUUGCGGUGUGUGUGAGUCGAGUCACUUAAAUUAAAAUACAAUUUUAAAGUCUCAAUAGUUUUACGGUUAAGAGGUCAAGCAAAUUGGUAUUGGGUUCGAAACUAGCUCGUUACAUUAUUGUCUUAGUAGCCACUCCUCAGUCUUUGUGACUAGCUAAAUGAGAGAGGGAAAUAUAAGGUCAUACUAAAAGACGUAGUAAAUAUUUAAAAAUAAUCACACGUGUGUCAAUGUGUUGACGUGCCGGGUAUAAUGCCGGCGCUACAUACAGUUUUACAUUAGAAUUAACAAAGUUUCAAAGGCACGGCACUUUGAAAAAUAAAUGCGCAAAGGAAAAUACACUUUGCCGAGCGGUGUAGGUUUUUUAGCGUAUAUAUCAAAGCGUUCACAGCCAAGGUAAUGUGAAAAAUAUUACAAAACUGUGUUAUUUUCUACCAUUAAUAUUAAUAAAAAAAUUAGAAAGACCUCCAUUUUAAUAGAGAGUUUUAACUACAAAUAAAACUUACCUAUUAUUUUUCCUGAGAUAUCCGGAAUCCAUGUUGAGUUUAGCCUUCCGUUUUUCAUGUGUUUUGACUUAGCAUUCCCCCGUUUCCGGUUCCCCACUCCGCCAUCGAUACUGUUUCCGUUUCAAUAUGGCGACGAGGCGAGAUGGUUGGUGGGGACACUUCAUUAUUAGCGUAAAAAUACACUUUGCCGAGCGGUGUAGGUUUUUUAGCGUAUAUAUCAAAGCGUUCACAGCCAAGGUACUGUGGAAAAAUAUUACAAAGCUGUGUAAUAUUAAUAUAAAAAUUAGAAAGACCGCCAUUUUAAUGUUUCAAUUUUUAAAGCUACAUGUAGCGCCAGCAUAAUUGUUAGGGAAAGUUCUAUCGAUUUUGAGGACCUGCGCAUUUAUGGUUUGACUGAAACAGUUACAUUAUCAUGAUUGAUAUGUAGCUUGGCAAGUUCGUUCAUGACACUCCCAUGAUAUGCAGGCGACGGGGAACGGGCUGCGCGGGGGGCUACCCCCUCCUGUCCCGCGCGGACCAUCGGGAGUGUUCGAACGAAUUUGCGAAGCUAUAGUUCCAUACCACCAUGACCAUAAGACCAUGUAUAAGCUAUAGUUAUACAUGGUCUUUUAAUUUUUUUUGUGAAACAGUAAAAAAAUUACUUAAUACGAAGUUUUUGUUGGUUGGUUGUUUGGAGGGUUUGAGUUGAAUCUCACCCAAUCUCCCGAUGGGGAGCUUCAACAAUAAUCUCGUAAUUUUUUCCUUCUUACAAAGACGUCAAUAAAUUUCGCGCAUAUAAUGUAUGUGAUGUACUCAACCAGCCAAAGAUGGUUUGUAAUUUCGUUCAAAUGAGUUUUUGGGAAUUGAAUGAUGAAGAAAAAUAAUACAUAGAUGACAUACAAAACAUAUGUUAAAUAAAAUGUAAUUUGCUCUUGAGUUCUAGCCUUUUGAGUUUUCAGAUGUCAAGAUUUUUGUUUUUACUGACCAAAAACGUCACUUUGGUUUUUGACAUUUUGAGACUUCAGAUCUGAAAAAAAACUAUAAAACUUUCCCUCACAACUAAUACACAUAACCGCGGAGCUUAAGUGAAUUUAAACAAAAUGCAGCUUUAUCGUUCAAUGUAUACGGCUUAAUUUGCGCUGACGUGUUGUGAUAUUUGACUUAGUGAUUAUAUUGGGCUAGGCUUUGUUGAGUUUGAUGGGGUUUAGAGUUGGAAAGAUUUAGAUUAAUAGAGGAAAAUUGAAUGUAUUGUAUGCAAUGAGUGUUAGCUUACGUGUAACCAAUUCUAAAUUUGUAAUAGGAAAGAAGAAUUUCACAUUGUAAUUAUGACCAAUGUAUGUUUUAGUUAGUGUGUAAGGGGCUUUUGCAUUACUUAGGUAAAUUAUUGACUUAUUAUAGUCUAUUUAGACUGAGGGUCUAGGAUAUGCUGUGUCAACAAAAAGAGUCUUUCGUUACGGUGAGACGAGUGAUUUGUAUGGUCUAAGAUCGGAUUGAAGUAUAUUUAUCUGUUAUUUUUUAGUGAUAACAAAUAAAUAAUAGAUAAUAUUCAAAGUGACACAUUGCAAAUAGGUUGUCUAUACCACCUUUCCUUUCUUGGUGAGUACUGUUUACCAACAAAAAAUUUAGAAAUGAAGUCAGAAAACGCCUGUCGUUUCAUAACUUAUUUAUUUUAAAUUAUGUAUGGUUUGUUUAUAAAAUGUUAUACAAAAUACAUUAACCAUAUCUAAUUGCCCUAAGCUUAAUAAACACAUUUAUAUUCAUUUAUUUAAGAAGUUAAUUAUAAUUAUUAUUAGGUGUCAAAUGAUUAGUGAUUUAUACCCUCAUUUUUAAUUUGUUUGUUGGUAAACAGUACUCAUCAAGAAAGGCUGUAGUAUAGAGAAGCUGUUUCAAACAAAACUCAUGUCGCAAACGUGCAUGCAGCUAAAAAAAAAAUAUUGUCGUAGUCAUAAUAUUAAAAUAUAGCACUAGAUCUCAUAAAGAAUAUUAUUUUCUUGCGACCAAAACGUAAAUAAAUUUUACCAUAAAUUAAAAAAAAAAUACCAUAAAUUACGUCUCUCAACAUAGUGAACUAGCGAGAUACUAUGAACAGUUGCACGGCACGCAGUGGUUUAUUCUCUAGUACGUGAUACAUAUACUCGUAACUCAAUGGUCUUCACAUGGUACUAUCCUUUUUAACGGGAAAAAUAACAAAGAAAUGCACUUAUACAUUUUAAAUUACUUUAAUGAGCUUUAUUAGCUUAUUGUAAUUAUAUUAACUGUCCCCACCUUAUUUAUUAGUUUAAGUGAUAUUCUGAAUAAAAAAUAAAUAAUAAAAUAAAUAAAUAAAUAAAAUCUUUAUUGACCAAAAAUAGAUACAAAAAACCAUAACAUUGCCUGUGGUCUCCACACUAGAUUGAUCUGUAUCGUGGAGACCAGGUAGGAUUUUCUAAUGCUUUCCGUUGGACUAGGACUAAUUACAAAAAUUACAACAAAUAGGACUACAUUACAAAAAGAAAAACAUUACAAAAAAGAAAAGUAAAGUAAAACAGUAAGCAGAAACGUUAGAUGAUGUACACAAUUAUUUUAGCUUAUUUCAUAUUUGCAUUGAGUAAUUCUUCGGUGUCUGUAUAAGUUAAACUUUUUAACCAAUUUGUUAUUGUUAGACUUGCCUGAUUUACUGAGAGAGGUAUAGAGAAAUUUUGUAAAAGUUUUCUAUUUAUUAGAUGGCUUGCAGAUAGCGGAGUUUCCUUCCUCUGUUAGAUUUGAACUAAUAUUUCUAAUCAUUUUGGCGUUAUAUUUGAUUUGUGGUAUUUUAUUCAUUGAAAACUUUGGAAACGCAAAUUAACUGAGAAAGCUGAACUUUGAAUAUGACGUGGGACCUAGAGAAACUCAUCAAAACUGUCAACUCACGGAAAAAAAAAAUUUGCACCACAUCCAAACUGACUCGGUAACGGAAAAUUUUUAACCAUUUCGAUCGAUAUCUCAAUAACGAUGAGAUUUAUGAAUAAUAUGAAAAAAUGUAAAUCUAAUUAUAGACUUUACAAAGACAACAAAAUAUAUUGAGUAAAAUUUUUCAUAUCUCAACGGACAACCGAGUUAUUUUUAAACAACUGUUUCAACCCUUUUUCUAGGUGGCGGAAAAUGCACUCGGUCGAGAAUUUAAAGUUAAGCUUUUUUAGGCCACGUCAUAUUCAAAAUUCAGCUUUCUCGGUUUAUUUGCAUUUCUAAGCCGAAUUUUCCGAUCUACCGACUGUAUUGACAAUAUUGGUCACCGAUUAGUUAUUUAGUAUCUACGAUAUAUCAGUCAGUUGUAUAUUUAGUGUGAUACCUAUUUAUAAUGAUGUGAUAAUUUUUUAUGGGCAGGGAUUCAUUACGGCCUACUACAUUUGUGUGAACGAUUUUAAAUUCUGGUGUAUUGUAAACAAUAGUUAUUAAUAUUGUAAAAAAUAUAGUAUUUUGUUUUCAAUCUAUUGAUGGUUUAUAUGUUUUCUAUAUACAAAAUAAUAAACCAUUAAUAAAUAUAAAAAAUUAUACCUCAUUUUAAGUGGAAAAAAGGGUUUUGUUUAUUAUUCCAGUAUUAUUAACUUAAUAAAACACAGACGAUUUAAUUUAUUUUUUGUUAAUAAUCAACCGUUUUGGAUUAUAAGGUUGGUAAUUCACCUGAGCCGAUUUAAAUAGCUAAAUUAUAGUUAAUAUGUGUGUCAAUACAAUCUAUGGCUUUUUGAUUUUUAUAACUUAGCUUAAGCUGAAGUAUUACAAGGGCACCCUAAUCUAGCUUGACUCAACUUUUUAUUCAUAUGUAAUUAUUUUUUUAUAACAAGAUUUUCGAAAACGAAAUUAACGCGAUAAUAUGUGAUAUAUUUUUCUCAAUCUGGUACUAAUUUAAAACGGAGUCUUGAUAAAUUACUAUUUUUAUGAGUAAUUACUAAAUAUUAAGUUGUGUAUUGGCCUGGUUCAUAUAUCGUCAUAGUUUCUACUUUCGUUUAUCUAAAGGUCCUUACAAUUGCACCUUAUAAAAAUUAAAAAAAAAUAGUAAGUAAAGAAACAAAUUGUGAUUUAAUAUGAUAUAAUCGUCUACCACCAAUCAGACGAGGUUGUUGUCCCAAACCUCUUCUGAUUGGUAGAAUACGGGAUGCUAUAUUGAGGGUAGUUCCCAUUUUAUUCUGUAGAAUACGACGUCAUAGAAACAAAUAUAAAUAUAUUUGGUCUCGGAGUUAAGUUCUCAGUGACGUCAUGACACAUAAUAAUAUAAUACUAUUUUUCCUAAACUGAUCCAUGUGAUGUACACCAAAGAUCUGACAAUAAUUUAUGAGUGUCGUAAGAAAAUAAAUUAUUCGACUUCGAUAGGAUAACGUGUCUACAAAUAUUUAUUAGUGUUAAGAAAUAAACUAUAUAUAAUAUUUACAGUUAUAUAUUGCAAAUAUAUACCAACCUAUCUAGGAAAUAUAUAGGUUGGCAAAGUGUCAAUAGUGUCAAUAUGAAUAUUUUCUACCAUUUAUUUCUUAUCCCAAAUGAUGAAAAUGAAAUGAAGACGAAAAACAGAUGAGGGGUUAACUAGGCAACCUAUCUGUAAUUUGUCACUGAAUAUUGUCUAUCAUUUAUUUCUUAUCACUAAUAAACAACAGACGGGAGUAUAUAUUUCUAAUGCCAGAUUCUAGACCACACCUAAUAUGUUUUUUCUAUAGAACAAUUUAGUAAAUGAAAAAUUUGAUGUUUCAUAGAAAAAAUUGCAACUGCCCUUACAACAGUUGAACAUACUUCAAUGUGAAUCGCACUCACGUUCUAGAACUUUAUUAAUAAGUUUUUUUACAAACCUUUUUUAUUUGUUUUGUUCUAUGCAGUGUUAUUCUGUUGAAUUGUUAUAUAUAAAAUUUCGUUUGUCAUACGGACAAACAUUGUGUUGUAGCUACGGUUGAUUCAGUUAAUGUAUUUAUUAAUUUAGACAAAGUAUAAGUGAUUAUUGUAUUAUUUAAAUAAAGUUUGUACGUGUA